This 53-nucleotide transfer RNA is filed under the name Plexippus paykullii. Its description in RNAcentral is "Plexippus paykulli tRNA-Gly". Lineage: Eukaryota; Metazoa; Arthropoda; Arachnida; Araneae; Salticidae. The record is from RNAcentral.
AAUAUAUAAGUAUUUAGUACGUUUAAUUUCCAAUUAAAAGGAAGGUUUUAUAU